This 253-nucleotide ribosomal RNA is filed under the name uncultured bacterium. RNAcentral describes it as "partial 16S ribosomal RNA". It matches the Rfam family "Bacterial small subunit ribosomal RNA", at positions 524 to 776 of the family's 1533-position model. The record is from RNAcentral.
UACGGGGAGUGCAAGCGUUGUUCGGAAUUAUUGGGCGUAAAGCGCGUGUAGGCGGCCUAGAAAGUCCGGAGUGAAAGCCCUCGGCUCAACCGGGGAAGUGCUUUGGAAACUGCUAGGCUUGAGUCCUGGAGGGGCGGGUGGAAUUCCCAGUGUAGAGGUGAAAUUCGUAGAUAUUGGGAGGAACACCAGUGGCGAAGGCGGCCCGCUGGACAGUGACUGACGCUGAGACGCGAAAGCGUGGGGAGCAAACAGG